RNAcentral lists this ribosomal RNA (275 nucleotides) under uncultured Ascomycota. RNAcentral describes it as "partial 18S ribosomal RNA". It matches the Rfam family "Eukaryotic small subunit ribosomal RNA", at positions 548 to 827 of the family's 1831-position model. The record is from RNAcentral. Lineage: Eukaryota; Fungi; Ascomycota.
UUGGAGGGCAAGUCUGGUGCCAGCAGCCGCGGUAAUUCCAGCUCCAAUAGCGUAUAUUAAAGUUGUUGCAGUUAAAAACGCUCGUAGUUGAACCUUGGGUCUGGCUGGCCGGUCCGCCUCACCGCGAGUACUGGUCCGGCUGGACCUUUCCUUCUGGGGAACCCUCAUGGCCUUCACUGGCUGUGGGGGGAACCAGGACUUUUACUGUGAAAAAACUUAGAGUGUUCAAAGCAGGCCUUUGCUCGAAUACAUUAGCAUGGAAUAAUAGAAUAGGA